UCUUCCCCACUGGAUCCUUUCGGAAUGAAUAGCAAAGGAUCAUGAGGACAAGACUACUUUUCAGGCUUAUCCACCAGUAUAUCCUCUUCAUUCAUCAAGCUGCUUCAGAGGACUGGACUGCAUUUCUGUUAAUGUGAUCUAUGCAGACAAGAUACCACUUAA
This is a long non-coding RNA of Lutra lutra (Eurasian river otter), 162 nucleotides long. RefSeq lists it as uncharacterized. NCBI's taxonomy places the organism in Eukaryota, Metazoa, Chordata, Mammalia, Carnivora, Mustelidae. The transcript is spliced from 3 exons. The record is from RefSeq and is a predicted model, not a curated record.